GCUGGGCGUGGUGGCUCACGCCUGUAAUCCCAGCACUUUGGGAGGCCGAGGUGGGUGGAUCACUUGAGGUCAGGAGUUCAAGACCAGCCUGGCCAACAUGGUGAAACCCCAUCUCUA
This 117-nucleotide non-coding RNA is filed under the name Cercocebus atys (sooty mangabey). The record is from Rfam by way of RNAcentral. Lineage: Eukaryota; Metazoa; Chordata; Mammalia; Primates; Cercopithecidae.